UAAGGAGGUGAUUGAUACUCUGGUGGCGGAGGCGAUUUGUAGUAAUAAGGUGGUGGGGGUGGUGACUCGUAUUUGUAGGGAGGUGGUGGAGGGGAUUCAUACUUGUAUGGAGGCGGUGGAGGUGACUCAUACUUGUACGGAGGUGGAGGUGGGGAUUCAUACUUGUAAGGUGGUGGUGGUGGUGACUCGUAUUUGUACGGAGGUGGAGGUGGGGAUUCAUACUUGUAAGGUGGUGGUGGUGGUGACUCGUAUUUGUAGGGAGGUGGUGGUGGCGACUCAUACUUGUAUGGAGGCGGUGGAGGAGAUUUGUAAUAGUAAGGUGGUGGUGGUGGUGACUCGUAUUUAUAUGGAGGUGGUGGCGGGGAUUCAUAUUUGUAGGGAGGUGGUGGAGGGGACUUGUAGUAGUAAGGUGGAGGAGGAGGCGAUUCAUACUUGUAGGGAGGUGGAGGUGGGGAUUCAUAUUUGUAUGGUGGGGGUGGCGGAGACUUGUAGUAAUAAGGUGGAGGGGGCGACUUGUAUUUGUAAACUGGGGGUGGCGGAGACUCGUAUUUGUAGACUGGUGGUGGCGGCGACUCAUACUUGUAUGGAGGCGGUGGAGGAGAUUUGUAAUAGUAAGGUGGUGGGGGUGGUGACUCGUAUUUGUAGGGAGGUGGUGGCGGGGAUUCAUACUUGUAGGGAGGUGGCGGCGGGGAUUUGUAGUAAUAAGGAGGUGGUGGUGGAGAUUCAUACUUGUACGGAGGAGGAGGUGGAGACUCGUACUUGUAUGGAGGUGGCGGCGGGGAUUUGUAGUAAUAAGGUGGUGGCGGGGGUGACUUGUAUUUGUAAACUGGCGGUGGUGGAGAUUCGUACUUGUAUGGAGGUGGCGGGGGGGAUUUGUAGUAAUAAGGUGGUGGUGGUGGAGAUUCAUACUUGUACGGAGGAGGAGGUGGAGACUCGUACUUGUAUGGAGGUGGCGGUGGGGAUUUGUAGUAAUAAGGUGGUGGCGGAGGUGACUUGUAUUUGUAAACUGGUGGUGGUGGAGAUUCAUACUUGUACGGAGGAGGUGGUGGCGACUCGUACUUGUAUGGUGGUGGUGGAGGGGACUUGUAGUAAUAAGGUGGAGGUGGCGGGGAUUCAUACUUGUAUGGAGGUGGUGGUGGUGACUCGUACUUGUAUGGUGGUGGUGGCGACUUGUAUUUGUAAACUGGGGGUGGCGGAGUCUCAUAUUUGUAGACUGGAGGUGGCGGGGAUUCAUAUUUGUAUGGAGGUGGUGGUGGGGACUUGUAAUAGUAAGGUGGUGGAGGCGGGGACUCGUAUUUGUAAGGAGGAGGAGGCGGCGAUUCGUAUUUGUAGGGAGGUGGUGGUGGGGAUUUGUAAUAGUACGGUGGAGGGGGCGGGGAUUUGUAAUAGUAUGGAGACGGUGGUGGGGGCGACUUGUAGUAAUAAUUAGGCGGAGGUGGAGGUGGGGACUUGUAAUAGUAUGGUGGUGGAGGCGGGGAUUUGUAAUAGUAGACCGGCGAAGGAGGAGGAGGGGAUUUGUAGUAGUAAACCGGAGGAGGUGGCGAUUUGUAGUAGUAGACCGGAGGUGGCGGAGAGGCGUAAUGGUAGACCGGUGUUGGUGGCGGAGGUGACUUGUACUCAUAGGGAGGUGAUGUGUAGAAGCAGACUGACGAUGGCUCUGGAGUUGCAUAGAUGAAAGGACCGGCUGUCAAGACGAGCUCCUUCUCUGUUUUCGAUUUGAACUUGAGCUU
Molecule: long non-coding RNA, 1730 nt
Filed under: Selaginella moellendorffii
Lineage: Eukaryota; Viridiplantae; Streptophyta; Lycopodiopsida; Selaginellales; Selaginellaceae
Description: long non-coding RNA (SMOE_LNC002285)
Source: RNAcentral